GAACGCUAGCUACAGGCUUAACACAUGCAAGUCGAGGGGCAGCAUGGUCUUAGCUUGCUAAGGCCGAUGGCGACCGGCGCACGGGUGAGUAACACGUAUCCAACCUGCCGUCUACUCUUGGACAGCCUUCUGAAAGGAAGAUUAAUACAAGAUGGCAUCAUGAGUCCGCAUGUUCACAUGAUUAAAGGUAUUCCGGUAGACGAUGGGGAUGCGUUCCAUUAGAUAGUAGGCGGGGUAACGGCCCACCUAGUCUUCGAUGGAUAGGGGUUCUGAGAGGAAGGUCCCCCACAUUGGAACUGAGACACGGUCCAAACUCCUACGGGAGGCAGCAGUGAGGAAUAUUGGUCAAUGGGCGAGAGCCUGAACCAGCCAAGUAGCGUGAAGGAUGACUGCCCUAUGGGUUGUAAACUUCUUUUAUAAAGGAAUAAAGUCGGGUAUGUAUACCCGUUUGCAUGUACUUUAUGAAUAAGGAUCGGCUAACUCCGUGCCAGCAGCCGCGGUAAUACGGAGGAUCCGAGCGUUAUCCGGAUUUAUUGGGUUUAAAGGGAGCGUAGAUGGAUGUUUAAGUCAGUUGUGAAAGUUUGCGGCUCAACCGUAAAAUUGCAGUUGAUACUGGAUAUCUUGAGUGCAGUUGAGGCAGGCGGAAUUCGUGGUGUAGCGGUGAAAUGCUUAGAUAUCACGAGGAACUCCGAUUGCGAAGGCAGCCUGCUAAGCUGCAACUGACAUUGAGGCUCGAAAGUGUGGGUAUCAAACAGGAUUAGAUACCCUGGUAGUCCACACGGUAAACGAUGAAUACUCGCUGUUUGCGAUAUACUGCAAGCGGCCAAGCGAAAGCGUUAAGUAUUCCACCUGGGGAGUACGCCGGCAACGGUGAAACUCAAAGGAAUUGACGGGGGCCCGCACAAGCGGAGGAACAUGUGGUUUAAUUCGAUGAUACGCGAGGAACCUUACCCGGGCUUAAAUUGCAGAUGAAUUACGGUGAAAGCCGUAAGCCGCAAGGCAUCUGUGAAGGUGCUGCAUGGUUGUCGUCAGCUCGUGCCGUGAGGUGUCGGCUUACGUGCCAUAACGAGCGCAACCCUUGUUGUCAGUUACUAACAGGUCAUGCUGAGGACUCUGACAAGACUGCCAUCGUAAGAUGUGAGGAAGGUGGGGAUGACGUCAAAUCAGCACGGCCCUUACGUCCGGGGCUACACACGUGUUACAAUGGGGGGUACAGAGGGCCGCUACCACGCGAGUGGAUGCCAAUCCCCAAAACCUCUCUCAGUUCGGACUGGAGUCUGCAACCCGACUCCACGAAGCUGGAUUCGCUAGUAAUCGCGCAUCAGCCACGGCGCGGUG
This 1338-nucleotide ribosomal RNA is filed under the name uncultured organism. Its description in RNAcentral is "SSU rRNA". It matches the Rfam family "Bacterial small subunit ribosomal RNA", at positions 31 to 1364 of the family's 1533-position model. The record is from RNAcentral.